GUUAAGUUCGCCGCCUGGGGAGUACGGUCGCAAGAAUGAAACUCAAAGGAAUUGACGGGGGCCCGCACAAGCGGUGGAGUAUGUGGUUUAAUUCGAUGCAACGCGCAGAACCUUACCUGGCCUUGGCAUGUCCGGAAUCCUGCCGAGAUGCGGGAGUGCCUUCGGGAAUCGGAACACAGGUGCUGCAUGGCUGUCGUCAGCUUGUGUCGUGAGAUGUUGGGUUAAGUCCCGCAACGAGCGCAACCCUUGUCCUUAGUUGCCAGCACGUGAUGGUGGGAACUCUAAGGAGACUGCCGGUGACAAACCGGAGGAAGGUGGGGAUGACGUCAAGCCAUCAUGGCCCUUACGGCCAGGGCUACACACGUACUACGAUGGUCGGUACAGAGGGCAGAGAGACCGCGCGGUGGAGCCAAUCCCAGAAAACCGAUCUCAGUCCGGAUUGGAGUCUGCAACUCGACUCCAUGAAGUCGGAAUCGCUAGUAAUCGCGGAUCAGCCAUGCCGCGGUGAAUACGUUCCCGGGCCUUGUACACACCGCCCGUCACACCAUGGGAGUGGGCUGCACCAGAAGCCGGUAGUCUAAAAGCAAGGAGGACGCCGACCACGGUGUGGUUCAUGACUGGGGUGAAGUCGUAACAAGGUAACCGU
Molecule: ribosomal RNA, 646 nt
Filed under: uncultured bacterium
Lineage: Bacteria
Description: bacterial SSU rRNA
Rfam family: Bacterial small subunit ribosomal RNA
Source: RNAcentral